GACGAACGCUGGCGGCAUGCUUAACACAUGCAAGUCGAACGGAAUCUUCGGGGUUAGUGGCGGACGGGUGAGUAACGCGUGAGAAUCUGCCCUUGGGUUCGGGACAACCACCGGAAAGGGUGGCUAAUACCGGAUGUGCUGAUAGGUAAAAGAGAAUUUGCCUGAAGAUGGGGCCGCGGCUGAUUAGCUAGUUGGUGAGGGGAAGGGUCCCCAAGGCAGCGAUUAGUAGCUGGUCGGAGGGGAAGACGAGCCACACUGGGACUGGGAAACGGCCCAGACUCCUACGGGGGGCAGCAGUGGGGAAUUUUCCGCAAUGGGGGAAGGCCUGACGAACCAAUACCGCGGGGGGGAAGAAGGCUCUUGGGUUGUAAACCUCUUUUCUUAGGGAAGAACAUAAUGACGGUACCUGGGGAAUCAGCAUCGGCUAACUCCGUG
This 435-nucleotide ribosomal RNA is filed under the name uncultured bacterium. RNAcentral describes it as "partial 16S ribosomal RNA". It matches the Rfam family "Bacterial small subunit ribosomal RNA", at positions 28 to 507 of the family's 1533-position model. The record is from RNAcentral.